This 484-nucleotide ribosomal RNA is filed under the name uncultured bacterium. Its description in RNAcentral is "partial 16S ribosomal RNA". It matches the Rfam family "Bacterial small subunit ribosomal RNA", at positions 30 to 507 of the family's 1533-position model. The record is from RNAcentral.
AUUGAACGCUGGCGGCAGGCCUAACACAUGCAAGUCGAGCGGAUGAAGGGAGCUUGCUCCUGGAUUCAGCGGCGGACGGGUGAGUAAUGCCUAGGAAUCUGCCUGGUAGUGGGGGAUAACGUCCUGAAACGGGCGCUAAUACCGCAUACGUCCUGAGGGAGAAAGUGGGGGAUCUUCGGACCUCACGCUCUCAGAUGAGCCUAGGUCGGAUUAGCUAGUUGGUGGGGUAAAGGCCUACCAAGGCGACGAUCCGUAACUGGUCUGAGAGGAUGAUCAGUCACACUGGAACUGAGACACGGUCCAGACUCCUACGGGAGGCAGCAGUGGGGAAUAUUGGACAAUGGGCGAAAGCCUGAUCCAGCCAUGCCGCGUGUGUGAAGAAGGUCUUCGGAUUGUAAAGCACUUUAAGUUGGGAGGAAGGGCAGUAAGUUAAUACCUUGCUGUUUUGACGUUACCAACAGAAUAAGCACCGGCUAACUUCGUG